GGAAACAGUGGCUAAGACUGGAUAGGAAGAUAAAAGGCAUCUUUUAUCUUUUUAAAGACCUAGUAAUAGGUAUGCUUUAGGAGGGGCUUGCGCCAUAUUAGUUAGUUGGUAGGGUAAUGGCCUACCAAGACGAUGAUGUGUAGCUGGACUGAGAGGUUGAACAGCCACAUUGGGACUGAGACACGGCCCAAACUCCUACGGGAGGCAGCAGUAGGGAAUUUUCGGCAAUGGAGGAAACUCUGACCGAGCAACGCCGCGUGAAUGACGAAGUACUUCGGUAUGUAAAGUUCUUUUAUCAAGGAAGAAAAGCAAAUGGCGAACCAUUUGUUUGCCGGUACUUGAUGAAUAAGCCCCGGCUAAUUAUGUGCCAGCAGCCGCGGUAAGACAUAAGGGGCAAGUGUUAUCCGGAAUUAUUGGGCGUAAAGGGUGCGUAGGCGGUCUAGUAAGUCAGUGGUGUAAUGGCAACGCUUAACGUUGUCCGGCUAUUGAAACUGCUAAACUUGAGUUAGAUAGAGGCGAGUGGAAUUCCAUGUGUAGCGGUAAAAUGCGUAAAUAUAUGGAGGAACACCAGAGGCGUAGGCGGCUCGCUGGGUCUUAACUGACGCUGAGGCACGAAAGCGUGGGGAGCAAACAGGAUUAGAUACCCUGGUAGUCCACGCCGUAAACGAUGAGUACUAAGUGUCGGGUUAAACCGGUACUGAAGUUAACACAUUAAGUACUCCGCCUGAGUAGUACGUACGCAAGUAUGAAACUUAAAGGAAUUGACGGGACUCCGCACAAGCGGUGGAUCAUGUUGUUUAAUUCGAAGAUACCCGAAAAACCUUACCAGGUCUUGACAUGUUUUUGCAAAAUGAUAGUAAUAUCGUGGAGGUUACCAGAAACACAGGUGGUGCAUGGUUGUCGUCAGCUCGUGUCGUGAGAUGUUAGGUUAAGUCCUAAAACGAGCGAAACCCUUAUCGUUAGUUGCCAGCACGUUAUGGUGGGGACUUUAACGAGACUGCCAAUGAUAAAUUGGAGGAAGGUGAGGAUCACGUCAAAUCAGCAUGCCCCUUAUGACCUGGGCUACAAACGUGAUACAAUGGCUGUUACAAAGGGUAGCUGAAACGCAAGUUCUUGGCCAAUCCCCAAAAACAGUCCCAGUCCGGAUUGAAGUCUGCAACUCGACUUCAUGAAGUUGGAAUCGCUAGUAAUCGCGAAUCAGCAUGUCGCGGUGAAUACGUUCUCGGGG
RNAcentral lists this ribosomal RNA (1228 nucleotides) under 'Chrysanthemum morifolium' phyllody phytoplasma. RNAcentral describes it as "bacterial SSU rRNA". It matches the Rfam family "Bacterial small subunit ribosomal RNA", at positions 152 to 1379 of the family's 1533-position model. The record is from RNAcentral. Lineage: Bacteria; Bacillati; Mycoplasmatota; Mollicutes; Acholeplasmatales; Acholeplasmataceae.